This 451-nucleotide ribosomal RNA is filed under the name uncultured bacterium. Its description in RNAcentral is "partial 16S ribosomal RNA". It matches the Rfam family "Bacterial small subunit ribosomal RNA", at positions 354 to 796 of the family's 1533-position model. The record is from RNAcentral.
GUGGGGAAUAUUGCGCAAUGGGGGAAACCCUGACGCAGCGACGCCGCGUGAGCGAAGAAGGCCUUAGGGUUGUAAAGCUCUGUUUUAAGGGACGAAUGUCGUGGGGAGUAAUAUGCUCUGCGAAUGACGGUACCUUAAGAGGAAGCCCCGGCUAACUACGUGCCAGCAGCCGCGGUAAGACGUAGGGGGCGAGCGUUGUCCGGAAUUACUGGGCGUAAUGAGCACGUAGGCGGGAACUUAAGUCAGGUGUGAAAGACCGGGGCUCAACGCCGGGGUUGCACUUGAAACUGGGUUUCUUGAGGGCAGGAGAGGAAAGCAGAAUUCCUGGUGUAGCGGUGAAAUGCGUAGAAAUCAGGAGGAAUACCAGUGGCGAAGGCGGCUUUCUGGACUGACCCUGACGCUGAGGUGCGAAAGCGUGGGUAGCAAACAGGAUUAGAUACCCCUGUAGUCC